CUGGUCUUUGGUUCCUUUUUUUUUUUUUUCCUUCCCUAGCAAACAGCUAGAAGCAUCUGGGGGUCUGACACCUUUUAAACUUUUGUGACUGACAAAAAGCUGCAUCCAUUCCUCUAUGCUAUAAAGUCUAUGAAAGAGUUUAAGGGAAGAAAGACUUCCCAAAAGAUUGUUUAAUAAUAUUUCCCCUACAAUAUUACAUUAGAGGAGGUUUGGGUCCUGUGGAAGCAGGCUUUGAAACCCCUUAUCCUGAGUAUUUCAACGAAUGUCGCAACUAUACAUGUAGAGUUAUAUUAGCAGUUUCUCCACUCUGCCAUGUACACCUGUCGAUCCUAAAAAGAGGAGCUGCUGAAACCUGAGAAGGCUCUACAGAAUAGUAUAUAGAGCUCUGUCAACCACCAUCCCACUUACUCUUUUUUCACCUGGCUAGUCCUUAGCUUCACGCACAUCUCUGGUUUUGUACAGCAGCCUGGGUGGAGUCCAGUCAAUGAGAGAACAGACACACAGCUGUUACCACCCAUAAGCAGAAAGGUAAAGAAUUCCUCUCUGCAUGGCAGCCCAGGGAUAUGGUUAGCAAGGCACCUGCUACUUGCCGCUGCCUCUUCUUUACUGAUCAAUCAGCUGACUGCCUAGAUGCCAUAGGAAGAAAAUUUAGAUAUGUUAGCUUGCUUUCAGACUAUGUGUUUCAGUAAAUUUGACUGAAGCAUGUAGAAGUAAAUGCAUUUUUAAAAAGGAUAAGAAACAAAACCACCACACUGGCACUCUGAAAAAGACUAAAAAAGAAUCCCUGUUAUUAAAAAAUGAGAUUUGAAAUUGGGUACUUUUUUAGGAAGUAUUAAUACAGCUCACAAGGCAUGAGAGAGGAAGUACUUAAAAGAGCCUGAUUUUUAAGAAGAUAACCCUAUAAUCUAUUAUGGCCAUCUCAUACUGCAUAUGGGCACUAGGAAGGGCCAGAAACAGAAGAUCGCAAUAUCACAUCCACCGGAAUAGCCCAGCACAAAGGCACCAAACAGAAGCUACACUGUGGGACUCAAGGUCACUUUCUGGCUCCCAUGCCUGAGUGCAUACUCGCUGUGUCUGGGCCUAAGUCAGGAUAGAAUCCAGGUAUACCCCAUUCCCACAGUCCCUGUGCCAAGUCCAAGCUGCCGUCCCAGCUGCCUGCAACCAACCUGGACAAACAGUCAAAGUCCUAAAAUU
RNAcentral lists this long non-coding RNA (1194 nucleotides) under Struthio camelus australis. RNAcentral's name for it is "lncRNA (ENSSCUG00000012065.1)". The record is from RNAcentral. Lineage: Eukaryota; Metazoa; Chordata; Aves; Struthioniformes; Struthionidae.